AGCUAUCGCCUAGGCCAGCGGAGAUGGUCAGGGCAGCGCUUUCCUAAAGGGCAGUGAUUCUUCCCUUCGAGAAGUGAGGUGAGGGGAGAAGGCGGCUCGCUGGGCAGCAAAACUACAACUCCCAGAGGAAUCAGUGCGUUUUAAAGACAAAACUCGUUUUCUGAGACUCGGGGUUCCAGCUUGCAGGAUCUUAGUUCCCCAACCAGGGAUCGAACCUGUGCCCCCUACAGUGGAAGUGCAGAGUCCUAACCACUGGACCGCCAGGGAAGUCCCUGGGAUUUAACCCGUGCCCCCUGCAGAAGCUCGGAGUCUUA
Long non-coding RNA from Physeter macrocephalus (sperm whale), 314 nucleotides. RefSeq lists it as uncharacterized. The transcript is spliced from 3 exons. The record is from RefSeq and is a predicted model, not a curated record. NCBI's taxonomy places the organism in Eukaryota, Metazoa, Chordata, Mammalia, Artiodactyla, Physeteridae.